This 2516-nucleotide unclassified non-coding RNA is filed under the name Leishmania donovani. Its description in RNAcentral is "gene:LdHU3.22.0420(CDS-product:hypothetical_prote in_conserved)". Lineage: Eukaryota; Euglenozoa; Kinetoplastea; Trypanosomatida; Trypanosomatidae. The record is from RNAcentral.
UUGCAGUGACUUCAUACUGCGUGUGCUGCGGGGCUAACCCUCUACAGCUCUCCUCCCUUUUUCCUCCCUUGCCGUGCUGUGCCUCAUACCAACGAAGACGUACACAUAAAGCAUCAUCUCGGGCUGCCUCUCGUCGACGCCCUCUACCUCUAUCCUCACCCCACCCCCUCUUCACAGAUUGUUCUCUGUUCAUUUUUCAUCUCUGGGAGGUUGUCGCGGUCACAUGCGCCGCUCUGUCUACUACAUGGGUCGCAGCUUCACGCAGCGACACCUGAAUGCGUGCUUCAGUCCGCUGGCCACCGGUUUUGUUCGGCCUAAUGCUUUCUCCAGCACAGCACAUGGCCUUGUGGCAUCGCCGCUGUGCGGUAGCGGCUGCAUCGGUAGCGGCGUUGUUGGCGCAAACGGCGCUCUGGUCGCGUCCACAGAGGCGUCGCUGAGCCAGCUCCUGGCACCGAUAAUUGUGCAGGGGAAGUCCAUCUCCAUGCUGGCGAGUCUCCUGUGCAUUCAAAAUAUAUCAACCUGCGUCUGUGCAUGCGUAAGAGUAUUAGCCGGAUUUAGAAUGAGCUGUUCUCCACCUUCCCAGGACUGCUUGGCGACGCGAAAUUGACUGCGUAUUUCCUUUGAAUGAACGGAGACAGGUGCAGUGGCCAGUUGCACUCCUUACGGGCCAGCCGUGAAGAGGACAUGUGGCAAGACAGAGGGCGGUGUGCACGCUCAGUGUACGGUGUGACCACAUAAUGCGCUGUGUGGGCGCAAACACGCACACGCAUUCAGGCCUACAUCAAGCUCUCUCACUGGCUUGGUUUGUUGCUGUUGGGUGAGGUGAAGCAGUGGCGAUGCACGUGUGACUGAAAACAGCGACGCUCAGAAAACAGGAGAAAGCGCGGAGUAGCAACGAGGGUGAUGCCGAUGCAGCAGUCUGCGGAUGCUACCAGGAUACCCUUUAGUGUAGUGUGUGUGUGCGCGCUUGACUGUCGUUGCACGGACACCGCUUCGCGUCCUCGGGCUCGCGAUCGUGGUGUCGGAGGAACCAUGCGUCACUCCCUCUCCUACAUCUGGCCUCGUUAUGUCUUUCUGCUCGUGUCGGUGCGUUGUGUUCUUUUUUCCUCUCUCGUGUGUGAGGGGGGGGGAGUGAGGGGGUUGCGUGGAGUCAGUUAAGGAUAACCGUUCUUACCGUGGCAACACAAUGAGGAUGACCCCAAUAUAUAUAUAUAUAAGGCGGUGACGGUGGUGCUGAAGUGCAUGUCCACAAAGAGCAAAAAAGCAGACCAGUGAACGCGAAGGACGCAAGACGCGCGCACACAAACGAUGGAGAAUGUUUGAAUGCUGCAAAAUAAUAAUAGUAAACGGAGAAACGGUAGCGAAGUAGGGGAGGGAGGGGAGGGAGAUGAGGAGCAGGUAGAGGGGGAUUGGGUUCAGGUCGUGCGGAUUGGAGGGGGGUCCAAAGGUAAUGAACGCGUUUCUAGGUGACCGUUUGGAUAGACAUCGGAUGUACAGGAAUUGUGGAAGAAGCCCGUUGAUGUGUGACCGGUGUAUGUACGGUUUGUCAGACCCCCUCUCUUGUCUUGUCCACCUAUCUGCAGAUAUAAUCAUCGCUGCGUUGAAUCGCACCCCUCCUUAAUCCUUUCGCCACUUCACUUCGUGUACACCAGCAUAAGUGGUACUUGUGAGAACGCAUCUCAUGGCACUGCCGACGCUGCGCCUACACCCCUCCCCCUAACCCUCCAGCAGCGGCAUCCUAUUCUUCAAAUGCAUCUCUUCACGCCCACCACCGCCCCCUUUCAUCUUUCCCUGUGUGUGUGUCUUCUGUUCUUGUUCCAGUUCUCGUUGCCAAGUUACAUGCCGUUCCCUAUCGAUGUUUUGCUCAUCUUCGUCUCCUCUUGUGUUUCCCCUGUCGCAUCUGACUGCGCCGUCUUCAGGGACGCUCACGACGGGGGCUUUAACAGGAAGGUAGAUGUCUAAAGAAACAUUCCUCAGCAGCUGACUCUCUCUCUCUCUUCGUCACGGACGCCUCAGCGACGAUGUUGUCGGCGUGCUCUCCACUAACAGCAUGCCUUGCCUACACACCCGGCGAGGAGGGGAGCUAAGAGGAAGGAAAAUGGAGUGGAAGGCAUUUGACCUCUUUUUUCUCUGUGGAGGACUUGCAUCCGGCCGCGUUCACGCGCGGUAUGCGUCGAUAAGUAAACCAAGCCACAGCUACGCACGCCGCCCGCAUAAGAACUGUCAAGCUCUGUGAGCGCUGAGAAGGUCUGGAAGGCGUGCGUGUGUGGAGGGGGGACGGGGAUCUCAGUAUGAGCAUGAGUGGCCUAGAAGAGAAAACGAGCUGAGCGGUUGGAGCCACUUGCGCAAGUGCCCUCCGCCAAAACGGUCGCUCGCUGUCUUUUGCUGCUAAAUAUGUGCGUCUCUGACGCCUCCCCUCAUUCCUGAUCCUGCCUGCCUCCCAGCGUCUCUUCCUCUCUGCUCCCGUCGGCAUCAGCCUUGGCUUGGCCUUUGGCCGUUAUGACGCGGUAUGGUGC